This 1341-nucleotide ribosomal RNA is filed under the name uncultured bacterium. Its description in RNAcentral is "16S ribosomal RNA". It matches the Rfam family "Bacterial small subunit ribosomal RNA", at positions 28 to 1381 of the family's 1533-position model. The record is from RNAcentral.
GACGAACGCUGGCGGCGUGCUUAACACAUGCAAGUCGAACGGUAAGGCUCCAGCUUGCUGGGGUACACGAGUGGCGAACGGGUGAGUAACACGUGGGUGACCUGCCCUGCACUUCGGGAUAAGCCUGGGAAACUGGGUCUAAUACCGGAUAGGACCGCACCGUGAGGGUGUGGUGGAAAGUUUUUUCGGUGUGGGAUGGGCCCGCGGCCUAUCAGCUUGUUGGUGGGGUAAUGGCCUACCAAGGCGGCGACGGGUAGCCGGCCUGAGAGGGUGGACGGCCACAUUGGGACUGAGACACGGCCCAGACUCCUACGGGAGGCAGCAGUGGGGAAUAUUGCACAAUGGGCGGAAGCCUGAUGCAGCGACGCCGCGUGGGGGAUGACGGCCUUCGGGUUGUAAACUCCUUUCACCAUCGACGAAGGGUUUCUGACGGUAGAUGGAGAAGAAGCACCGGCUAACUACGUGCCAGCAGCCGCGGUAAUACGUAGGGUGCGAGCGUUGUCCGGAAUUACUGGGCGUAAAGAGCUCGUAGGUGGUUUGUCGCGUCGUCUGUGAAAUUCCGGGGCUUAACUCCGGGCGUGCAGGCGAUACGGGCAUAACUUGAGUACUGUAGGGGAGACUGGAAUUCCUGGUGUAGCGGUGAAAUGCGCAGAUAUCAGGAGGAACACCGGUGGCGAAGGCGGGUCUCCGGGCAGUAACUGACGCUGAGGAGCGAAAGCAUGGGGAGCGAACAGGAUUAGAUACCCUGGUAGUCCAUGCCGUAAACGGUGGGCGCUAGGUGUGGGUUUCCUUCCACGGGAUCCGUGCCGUAGCUAACGCAUUAAGCGCCCCGCCUGGGGAGUACGGCCGCAAGGCUAAAACUCAAAGGAAUUGACGGGGGCCCGCACAAGCGGCGGAGCAUGUGGAUUAAUUCGAUGCAACGCGAAGAACCUUACCUGGGCUUGACAUAUACAGGAUCGCGCCAGAGAUGGUGUUUCCCUUGUGGCUUGUAUACAGGUGGUGCAUGGUUGUCGUCAGCUCGUGUCGUGAGAUGUUGGGUUAAGUCCCGCAACGAGCGCAACCCUUGUCUUAUGUUGCCAGCACGUUGUGGUGGGGACUCGUAAGAAACUGCCGGGGUUAACUCGGAGGAAGGUGGGGAUGACGUCAAAUCAUCAUGCCCCUUAUGUCCAGGGCUUCACACAUGCUACAAUGGUCGGUACAGUGGGUUGCCAGUCCGUGAGGGCGAGCUAAUCCCGCAAAGCCGGUCUCAGUUCGGAUCGGGGUCUGCAACUCGACCCCGUGAAGUCGGAGUCGCUAGUAAUCGCAGAUCAGCAACGCUGCGGUGAAUACGUUCCCGGGCCU